RNAcentral lists this ribosomal RNA (253 nucleotides) under uncultured bacterium. RNAcentral's name for it is "partial 16S ribosomal RNA". It matches the Rfam family "Bacterial small subunit ribosomal RNA", at positions 524 to 776 of the family's 1533-position model. The record is from RNAcentral.
UACGGGGGGGGCAAGCGUUGUUCGGAAUUACUGGGCGUAAAGGGCUCGUAGGUGGCCAACUAAGUCAGACGUGAAAUCCCUCGGCUUAACCGGGGAACUGCGUCUGAUACUGGAUGGCUUGAGUUUGGGAGAGGGAUGCGGAAUUCCAGGUGUAGCGGUGAAAUGCGUAGAUAUCUGGAGGAACACCGGUGGCGAAGGCGGCAUCUUGGACCAACACUGACACUGAGGAGCGAAAGCCAGGGGAGCAAACGGG